UACGAAGGGGGCUAGCGUUGUUCGGAAUUACUGGGCGUAAAGCGCACGUAGGCGGGUAUUUAAGUCAGGGGUGAAAUCCCAGAGCUCAACUCUGGAACUGCCUUUGAUACUGGGUACCUAGAGUAUGGAAGAGGUGAGUGGAAUUCCGAGUGUAGAGGUGAAAUUCGUAGAUAUUCGGAGGAACACCAGUGGCGAAGGCGGCUCACUGGUCCAUUACUGACGCUGAGGUGCGAAAGCGUGGGGAGCAAACAGGG
Molecule: ribosomal RNA, 254 nt
Filed under: uncultured bacterium
Lineage: Bacteria
Description: partial 16S ribosomal RNA
Rfam family: Bacterial small subunit ribosomal RNA
Source: RNAcentral